Molecule: long non-coding RNA, 299 nt
Filed under: Elaeis guineensis (African oil palm)
Lineage: Eukaryota; Viridiplantae; Streptophyta; Magnoliopsida; Arecales; Arecaceae
Description: long non-coding RNA (EGUI_LNC021651)
Source: RNAcentral
UCCCUUCACUUGUCUUGUCGCAGGGCUCGUCUGCCUAUGCACACGCCAGACCUUCACCGAAAUCGAGGUCACCCGUGAGCGACUACACUCCCUAUUCAUGUGCAUCUGCCAGUGCCGAAGUAGCCUGUGACGUCACUAAGUUUUCUCACGCACCCACGCAUGCCUCCCAUGCCACCAAACAGCAUCGAAUCCAACCAAGCUGAAAUUGGUCUCUCGCGAGUGGCUGCACUUUCGCAUGCAUGCCCCACCUCCAUCAAGCGACGUCGGAGCUUCCCACUCGUCGGAGUUGCCCGCCCACC